CAGUCGCCGCGGGAAUACGUAGGGUGCAAGCGUUGUCCGGAAUUAUUGGGCGUAAAGAGCUCGUAGGCGGUUCGUCGCGUCUGCUGUGAAAACCCGAGGCUCAACCUCGGGCUUGCAGUGGGUACGGGCGGACUAGAGUGCGGUAGGGGAGAUUGGAAUUCCUGGUGUAGCGGUGGAAUGCGCAGAUAUCAGGAGGAACACCGAUGGCGAAGGCAGAUCUCUGGGCCGUAACUGACGCUGAGGAGCGAAAGCAUGGGGAGCGAACAGGAUUAGAUACCCCAGUAGUCCCUGUCUCUUAUAA
RNAcentral lists this ribosomal RNA (301 nucleotides) under uncultured bacterium. RNAcentral's name for it is "partial 16S ribosomal RNA". It matches the Rfam family "Bacterial small subunit ribosomal RNA", at positions 509 to 809 of the family's 1533-position model. The record is from RNAcentral.